GCUGUAUAUCUAGAUUCUAGACUUGUAUCUCAACACCCCAUUAUGCAGUGAACAGUUGGGCACAGCUUGAGAAUCAAUGGCCAAUUUGGAAAUGAAAUCUAGAGCAUGAGCAUCUUAUUGAUAACCAGCCACCACUUCGUUGAUCCACUGCAACACACAAGUAGAUAUAGCAGCACAGCUAGCAGAGUGCAAGGAUUUUCUGGAUAGUGCAUCAGCCACUCGAUUAUCCACACCCGUUUUAUACACAAUCUUAUUCUGAAGGCCUAGCAGCUUAGUGAACACCUUCUGCUGCCAGUGAGUAUGUAAGCGUUGGUCACUUAACUGAAUCAGACUUCUAGUCAAUGUAUAUUGUGAAUUCCCC
RNAcentral lists this long non-coding RNA (361 nucleotides) under Setaria italica (foxtail millet). RNAcentral's name for it is "long non-coding RNA (SITA_LNC004563)". The record is from RNAcentral. Lineage: Eukaryota; Viridiplantae; Streptophyta; Magnoliopsida; Poales; Poaceae.